RNAcentral lists this long non-coding RNA (2109 nucleotides) under Lathyrus oleraceus (garden pea). Its description in RNAcentral is "Pisum sativum (pea) long non-coding RNA (PSAT_LNC042061)". Lineage: Eukaryota; Viridiplantae; Streptophyta; Magnoliopsida; Fabales; Fabaceae. The record is from RNAcentral.
AUAAUGUCAUUUGAGCAUUACUACAAGCGAUUAACCGGGAUUUACGUCAUUCAACCUCAAGUUUUGGUUUACAGAUAUGGUUGUUUCAAAUUCAUUACUACAAGAUAAAUUACAUAACAAUCAUGUCAAAACUCAAACUUGCUCCCCUUUGCACCCAGUUCUACAUCCAUUUCAACAGACCAUUACGCGCUCAUUUCCUAACAGACGAAAUACGACGAAACAUGACGUGUAAAAAAAAAGAGAUAUCAUAGAUGACCCAAGGAAGGUCUAAGUGUAAAGAAGAAUGCCUUAUUUCAAAACUCUGAAACAUGAAAGUCCAAACCGUCCAAAAGGUUUUGGCCGACUGCAACUUGUGACAAAUAAACCAGAAUAACAGAAACUAGUUGAUAUUAACAUUGCUCUAUGAAUAUAAGACACUAGAAGAUAAUUGAAGUCAUAAAGAGGGACCGUGUAUGGUUCUUUUCAUCCCUUAAUUAUUACCAUUUAACUUUUUAAAUAAGACAUAAGGUUUCGUUUAGACAUCUAAAGGAAAAGGGAAGGGUAAUACAAAAUAUCAAAAUACACCAUCGCAAAACCAAAAUCAUCCAUAAGCCUUGGAUUACCAUCACUUUACUGAGAGUAACUGCAGUGAAAGCCUAUUAGUGAGCACCAUACCUAGAUUAAAAAAACCUGCAUCAGUAAAAUCAUUAUGGGACCACACGUUCUAAACACAAUUUCAGAUUAUAGUACAGACAAAAUUGAUACCCAUCACACAUUUGGUCCCCACAAAAUCGAAAGAAAGAUUCGCUCUAACAAAUUGGAAAUCCUUCCAAAUUCUGACAGUAAUGCUCACACGUUUCAGAGGAUUUUCCUUUGAAGAAUUAUCCUCAAAUUUGUGUGUGAACACUUGAUUUCCCUCCUAUAAAAGGACACGUCCAAUCAUUGAAUAAACCGAGGAGGAUACCCUACCGUUACCCUACUGAAAUCUCAUACCAACUUGUACCUAAAGCUCAAAAUACUAAGGGGGACUCGGAGUUUAUCAUCAAAACUCUGAGUAAACCGAGCUAAGCCCUAGCAAUCAAAUCAAGCGCAGAAGUAAGAGGAAGGAGAGACCGAAAACUAAGCAAAAAAGGAGAAGAGCUCACACACAGAAUUGAAAAGACACUUACUUGAGGUAAAAUUCGUCGGAGUAUCGUCGGAGUCGCAAAACUCCGGCGUCAUCCUUCACCCCUUUAUUCAACCUUUCCAAGGCAUUACAGCUCCAUGUAGUCGCCGAUUGCAUGUGUGAUUUGAUGAUUCGUUACUUAUUCAUGAUUGUUUGAGUUAAGUCUGGACUAUUGUAGAUUUGUAAGAAGCUUUGCUAUUUUUGGUUUGAGUUGGUUAUGUUUUUUGUUUUGUUGUGGGUUUUGUUUCUUUUUGUUGAAAUAGGAAAUCGGUUUGCUCGGAUCUACUGAGAUUUUGAUGAUGAACACCAUGAGGUAUUCAUCUUUGGUUCUGGAAUUUUAGGUGGUUCGUUUUUUUUGUUUAAAUUGGGCUUUGGUUUUGUUUUGUUGGAAGAAGAUGAAUGGAUUUCAGUUUGCAGGAGAAAGUUUUGUUCGGUUGAGGUGUGUAGGUAGGGAGAGAGGGAGUGAACGAAUGAGGUGAGGUUAUCUUUUUUCACUGUGUUUGUUUUUAUGCUUUUAUUCUAAGUCGUACCAAGUGGUGAGAUGGGGAUACGUGUAGGAAACUAAUGAUGCAUGUUGUUUUCUUUUAUUGCAUCGCUUUUCUCGAAAUCAUUUAUGGUAGUGGUUGGAAUAUGGACCGUUAAUGGUGAAUUAUCCAUUUUUGUUUCGUUCCCCCACGCGUCUGGUUGGUUGGUGCAAAGGAUUUGUUUGACUCCCUUCUAUAUUUGGGCCAAAUCCGGGUUUGGGUCUUCCUGGAGGGCCAACCCGGUGCAUUUUCCCCUUUUGGGUUGUAUCCACGGUAGCAUUUGGGUUGGAUCUAGUUUAGAUCCUUUAACUUCUUUUCUUUUCUUUUCUUUAGUCAUUUUCUUGUUUUAUUUGUUUAUAGAAUUAAACUAAUUAAUUAAAUUUCUGAUAAUUAUGAAAUUCUAAUUAGGUUAGUUAAGGAAUUAAUUUUGUUUUUAUUCAA